This 277-nucleotide long non-coding RNA is filed under the name Capra hircus (goat). RNAcentral's name for it is "lncRNA (ENSCHIG00000004695.1)". Lineage: Eukaryota; Metazoa; Chordata; Mammalia; Artiodactyla; Bovidae. The record is from RNAcentral.
AGAAAAUCAGGCUGGGGUGUGCAGGUGCACUGCUGGAGUAACUAGCUGCAGGAAGAAAAGCUACUCAGUCAUGGCUCCAUCUGCUUUUACCAAGAGCACAGAAGUUCUAUUAAUAGAAGGGAAAAUGUUACACUACUGGGUGUAAUACCUGAGUCUCCUGCCUUCACUUGGUUCCCUACGGUAAGUCAGGAAGCAUCCAGUAAAUAGUCCUUUCCUUCUCCUAUGGACCCUACUCUCCCCUCUGUAUCCCUUCUCAUCCCAUCUAAUGGCACACCUA